UAUUUAUGUUUUUGUUUAAAGUGUUGCUUUACAUAAUUUUUUUUUUUAAAUUGGAAGGCAGAGUGGUGAGCCCCCAGUCCCCUGGGUGCUGGAAUUACAGAUUUGUACCUAUAGUUUGAAGUAGUUUAUAUGAUAAGACUUAUGAUAAAUUAAAUUAUACCUAUAAACUAAAGUGUUCUUAUAGUGGAUACCAUUUUGUAGAACAUCCUCCAAAAGAUGUUAAUCAGAUUAUAAAGCUAAUGAGUGCAGAGCGUCAAGUAUUAUCAUUCUCCCUAGAUUACCAGUUGUAGCUCAGGGUAAGGAACAGAAGCCAGUUUGCCCAGCCAGCAUCACAUAGCUAGAGGGUGUUAAGCCUGUGGUCAUCUAAUCUCAGCCCAUGUCUUUAGUAAACUGACUUGAAAUAUGAUGAACAGAUACAUGUAUUCCUUGUUUGCUAUCUAGUCAGCUAGGGUACAGGAAAGAAUAGAAGUAUAGUGACCUCAAAAUGGCUAUUGAAGACAGUAAGACAGACAGAUGGGUGACUCGACCACAGCCCCACUCAGGCAGUUGUUUCUGUCUCUGUCUGCUUGUUACUUGGUGAUUGAAGAGCCAUCUGACCAGAUACUCAGUUCAGCCCUUUUAGACAGUUUCAGGCCAUCCAUGAAGGAGAAGUACUCACAGGUAGAAAAAGAACUAGGAAGACCACCUGAAGUCCGCUUCUCAAGAUGGUUAUGACAGUCUGCCUUCCUUUGGUCAGUCAGUAGCAGGGUUCUUGCUAUGCGGGGCUGCAUGGUGUUACCACAUGAAGUGAUGGGCUCUGCUCCUUUCCAUUAGCUUCAGGAGUCUAGCCCUGGCCCUGCAGUCAUGCUGGCGGAGCUGUCUUCCCUUCAUAUACUUCAAGUUGUUAGGCUAUAUUUUCUGUCGCAUUAAAAUUGUAGCUUAAAACUUUACUUCGCCAAGUCUUGAUAGUCUAGCUCCCAAGUUUGAAAUGUUCAUUGAUAGCUUCAUCCCCUGCUUUUGUCUUUGAGGUAUACCAUGGCAGACCUUCUUACCUUGGAACCUUGGAGGCUUUAAACCUUUGGCAGCCUGGGCAGUGGGGUUCAGGAAGUACUAAGGAAGGGCAGUGUGUGUACUUACACUGAAGUUUCAGAGGCUACCAGAAUCUUUAGUACCAGUUCUUUUCUGUUACACUGUUUCCUGUGUUACCAACUGAACUCCAGUAACUCUGAUUUAGAGCACCUAUUCCAUAGAUGUUCACUAAGACUCAAGGUAGCUUUGAGAACAAAGAAUCGUGUUUGAUACAUUGAAAUAACACUGGUAAUUAUAGUAGCCCCAUUUCAGAAAGGCAGUUUUGUUUUUUCCAGAAAGUGCAUCCUCUUAGUCCUCUGAGUAAGUCUGCUCACUACAGACCUACCUUGUUUAAGAACUUCAAAAUUGUUGGGAGAAAUAAGGUAAAGACUUACUGUAGCAGUGCUACAGGGAAUAAAUAAGGUAAAGACUUACUGUAGCAGUGCUACAGGGAAUAAAUAAGGUAAAGACUUACUGUAGCAGUGCUACAGGGAAUAAAUAAGGUAAAGACUUACUGUAGCAGUGCUACAGGGAAUAAAUAAGGUAAAGACUUACUGUAGCAGUGCUACAGGGAAUAAAUAAGGUAAAGACUUACUGUAGCAGUGCUACAGGGAAUAAAUAAGGUAAAGACUUACUGUAGCAGUGCUACAGGGAAUAAAUAAGGUAAAGACUUACUGUAGCAGUGCUACAGGGAAUAAAUAAGGUAAAGACUUACUGUAGCAGUGCUACAGGGAAUAAAUAAGGUAAAGACUUACUGUAGCAGCGCUACAGGGAAUAAAUAAGGUAAAGACUUACUGUAGCAGCGCUACAGGGAAUAAAUAAGGUAAAGACUUACUGUAGCAGCGCUACAGGGAAUAAAUAAGGUAAAGACUUACUGUAGCAGUGCUACAGGGAAGCUGGUGCAUGUUGUUCACUUUCACUUGCCAUUUUUUG
Molecule: long non-coding RNA, 1980 nt
Organism: Apodemus sylvaticus (European woodmouse)
Lineage: Eukaryota; Metazoa; Chordata; Mammalia; Rodentia; Muridae
Exons: 3
Source: RefSeq, a predicted model, not a curated record